RNAcentral lists this ribosomal RNA (207 nucleotides) under uncultured bacterium. RNAcentral's name for it is "partial 16S ribosomal RNA". It matches the Rfam family "Bacterial small subunit ribosomal RNA", at positions 568 to 774 of the family's 1533-position model. The record is from RNAcentral.
CGCGUAGGCGGCCGUUUAAGUCAGAUGUGAAAGCCCGGGGCUCAACCCCGGAAGUGCAUUUGAAACUGGACGGCUUGAGUAUGGGAGAGGGAAGUGGAAUUCCUGGUGUAGAGGUGAAAUUCGUAGAUAUCAGGAGGAACACCGGUGGCGAAGGCGACUUCCUGGACCAAUACUGACGCUGAGGCGCGAAGGCGUGGGGAGCAAACA